Molecule: long non-coding RNA, 509 nt
Organism: Bos taurus (domestic cattle)
Lineage: Eukaryota; Metazoa; Chordata; Mammalia; Artiodactyla; Bovidae
Source: Ensembl
UGUAAAGAGUCAGCUCCGCCCUUCAAAAGUUCCCAACCCUGGAACUUGCCUGGUGGUCCCAUGGUGAAGCAUCUGUCUUGCAGUGCAGGAGGCCAAAAUGUUUAAAAAUCGCUAGACUUUAAGUAGAGGAAGCACCAAGGGAAGAAAAAUAAAUGAUCAGAGUGUGGACAACUUUGGGGAGAAGUUUGGCCUUGAGUGGGAAGUUGACUGAUCGCAAGCUGCUCUUCUGGCUCCAGAAAACAAGAGGGACCCCAUGUGAAGGAUGGACAACAAGCAUCAGGCUCAAAAAGCAGAGGAGGCAGCCCAAGAGGGACAAGUGCCCUGUUGUAAGACUCCAGUGUCAACCUGUAGUGUCUAAUCUCACGCUUACAGAAACCCAGGGGCCCCAGGUUUGAUCCCUGGUCAGGGAACUAGAUCCCACACGCUGCAACUAGAAGUUCUCCUGCCUCAACUAGGAGUUCUCCUGCCUCAACAAAGAUCAAAGAUCCCACGUGCUGUGACUAAGACCU